AGAGUGAACGCUGGCGGCAGGCCUAACACAUGCAAGUCGAGCGGCAGCGCGGGGGCAACCCUGGCGGCGAGCGGCGGACGGGUGAGGAAUACAUCGGAAUCUACCUUGUUGUGGGGGAUAACGUAGGGAAACUUACGCUAAUACCGCAUACGACCUGAGGGUGAAAGCGGGGGACCGCAAGGCCUCGCGCGACAAGAUGAGCCGAUGUCCGAUUAGCUAGUUGGUGAGGUAAAGGCUCACCAAGGCGACGAUCGGUAGCUGGUCUGAGAGGAUGAUCAGCCACACUGGAACUGAGACACGGUCCAGACUCCUACGGGAGCAGCAGUGGGGAAUAGUUGGACAAGUGGGGGACAACCCGUGAUCCAGCCAUCGCCG
Molecule: ribosomal RNA, 375 nt
Filed under: uncultured soil bacterium
Lineage: Bacteria
Description: bacterial SSU rRNA
Rfam family: Bacterial small subunit ribosomal RNA
Source: RNAcentral